This 1439-nucleotide ribosomal RNA is filed under the name uncultured bacterium. Its description in RNAcentral is "bacterial SSU rRNA". It matches the Rfam family "Bacterial small subunit ribosomal RNA". The record is from RNAcentral.
AGGGUUUGAUCAUGGCUCAGAACGUACGCUGGCGGCACGCCUAACACAUGCAAGUCGAACGAAGUAGCAAUACUUAGUGGCAGACGGGUGAGUAACAUGUGGGUAUCUGCCCUUUGGCCUGGAAUAACACGAGGAAACUUGUGCUAAUACCGGAUAAGUCUUUACGGAGAAAGCUUUAUGCACCAUUGGAUGAGCCCGCACUUGAUUAGUUUGUUGGUGGGGUAAUGGCCUACCAAGACUGUGAUCAAUAGCUGAUUUGAGAGGAUGAUCAGCCACAUUGGGACUGAGACACGGCCCAAACUCCUACGGGAGGCAGCAGUGGGGAAUCUUGCACAAUGGAGGAAACUCUGAUGCAGCGAUGCCGCGUGAGUGAAGAAGGCCCUUGGGUUGUAAAGCUCUUUCGUCGGGGAAGAAAAUGACUGUACCCGAAUAAGAAGGUCCGGCUAACUUCGUGCCAGCAGCCGCGGUAAUACGAAGGGACCUAGCGUAGUUCGGAAUUACUGGGCUUAAAGAGUUCGUAGGUGGUUGAAAAAGUUAGUGGUGAAAUCCCAGAGCUUAACUCUGGAACUGCCAUUAAAACUUUUCAGCUAGAGUAUGAUAGAGGAAAGCAGAAUUUCUAGUGUAGAGGUGAAAUUCGUAGAUAUUGGGAAGAACACCGGUGGCGAAGGCAGCUUUCUGGAUCAUUACUGACACUGAGGAACGAAAGCAUGGGUAGCGAAGAGGAUUAGAUACCCUCGUAGUCCAUGCCGUAAACGAUGUGUGUUAGACGUUGGAAAUUUAUUUUCAGUGUCGCAGCGAAAGCGAUAAACACACCGCCUGGGGAGUACGACCGCAAGGUUAAAACUCAAAUGAAUUGACGGGGACCCGCACAAGUAGUGGAGCAUGUGGUUUAAUUCGAAGAUACGCGCAGAACCUUACCAACACUUGACAUGUUCGUCGCAACUCUGAGAGAUUAGAGUUUUCGGUUCGGCCGGACGAAACACAGGUGCUGCAUGGCUGUCGUCAGCUCGUGUCGUGAGAUGUUGGGUUAAGUCCCGCAACGAGCGCAACCCUCACUUUUAGUUGCCAUCAUUAAGUUGGGCACUCUGAAAGAACUGCCAGUGAUAAGCUGGAGGAAGGUGGGGAUGACGUCAAGUCCUCAUGGCCCUUACGUGUUGGGCUACACACGUGCUACAAUGGUAUCUACAACAGGAAGCAAGACUGCGAGGUCAAGCAAAUCCUUAAAAGAUACCUCAGUUCGGAUUGCACUCUGCAACUCGAGUGCAUGAAGCUGGAAUUACUAGUAAUCGUGGAUCAGCGUGCCACGGUGAAUGCGUUCCCGGGUCUUGUACACACCGCCCGUCACACCAUGGGAGUUGGUUCUACCUUAAGGCAAGGUUUCAAACCCUUGACCACGGUAUAGUCAGCGACUGGGGUGAAGUCGUAACAAGGUAGCCGUA